RNAcentral lists this long non-coding RNA (1017 nucleotides) under Oncorhynchus mykiss (rainbow trout). RNAcentral describes it as "lncRNA (ENSOMYG00000061412.1)". Lineage: Eukaryota; Metazoa; Chordata; Actinopteri; Salmoniformes; Salmonidae. The record is from RNAcentral.
GAUUGGGGGGGCACUAAGGAAGAUGACACAUCAAGACCUCCAUAACGUCUCUGACGAACCAGACUUGCGACAGCUCUUGCCACGUCUGGCUGCGCCAUGUUUGUACUCAAAACAACAAGCAUAAUAAAAGCCUGAACAAAGAGGGUUAUGGCCACUGAAUGUUGGUGUCCCUCCCUGUCCAUCCUCCCUAACAGGAACUACAGGAUGCAGAGUUCAUCCUGAUUCCAGAGGCUGAAUACCUGGCCCACUGGCUCCUUCUUUCUCAGAGCGUCACACUGCUCUAUGAUGACCUGCAGGAGGUGAAGGCUGCUGCCGCCACUGAGAAAAGCCUCUCGGUUAUGACAAACGCACCUGACUACAUCCCCAGUGCUAAUAUCGCAACCUAACCAAGUGUUAUUUCUUUAGACCGCUCGUAUGGGCUGUCAAGGGGUCAACGGGUUGGAGGAGGCAGGAGCCUAAGUAAUGAGGUAGCAGAGUUUCGAGAGACAGUCAAUCACGAAGAGGCACCAAUCCAGUUGUUACAGAAGCAGGUAAGCAUUACUCACUAUAGACUAGUGGUACCCGGGUCAGUUGUUACAGAAGAAGGUAAGCAUUACUCACUAUAGGCUAGUGGUACCUGGGUCAGUUGUUUGUUCACCUGCCCCUGCUCACAAUUGCAAAUCAUUUUUUGUAUAUGAUUAAGUGAAAAUCUGAGGCCCCACACUUGACCCUAACCCACAAAUAUAAAAAAUGCGCCAUAGGCUACAGUCAGAAGGUAGAACGUUUUUUGACAGGGGGUGGAGGAUUGUUUUUUGCGUAAUUUAUGUUUCUUAUAAUUUCUGACAUUUUAGUAGGCUAUUUGUUAGUCAACUUGUUUAUAAUUAGAUGCGUGCAGCUUCUCUUCUGUCAUAAUAUGUUGCCCUAGAAGACUAAAUAAACACUUGCUCACUAGAAUAAUGUCAUAAAUGGUAGAAGGAAGGCUUCAAUCUAGUUGACAUUGGUAAAGUUGUCUCUGUCAUCUCUGCUUCUUUUGCAGAG